CCCCCCACUCCAACAACACUUCAGUUUGUUUCCUGCGAUUAAGAAUUCCUCAUAUCAGUGAGAUCAUAUGAUACAUGUCUUUCUCUGUUUGAAAAAGUCCAUCUUUUUUCCUAUACUAUACUAUACUAACUUUUUUGAUAAAAAUCUACUUUCUUCUUGAAGGUUCCUUGCUGGGGUCCAAAUGGGAGUAGUUGCUUUCAAAGUCUACUGCUCAUCUGUCAUCUGGGAUUUUUUUUUUUUUUUUUUUUUAGUCACACUCCUACGUAGGUGUCACUUUCUUGAAGCUUCACCUUUUCCCGUACUUCUUUUUUUGUUUAACUAAAUACAUUCUUAAUUUUUUUCUUUAGAAAGUGUGCAUGGGAUACAAAUACCUUGGGACUUACAUGUCUGAAAAUAGCCAUUAAUCUACAUUCUUACUUGAGUGCUAGUUUAGCUGAGCAUAGACUUCUAGACCAAAGGUCAUUUUUUCUCUGAGAACUUUUAAAAUUUUGCUCUAUUCUAGAAAAUUAUAUCUGAUGCCAUUUUGAUUUUUGCUCCAUUAAAGGUGAUAUAUCUUUAUUGAGGAAUAAUUGGCAUUCAAUAAAUUGCACAUAUUUAUGUGCAGUUUGGUAAGUUUUACAUUUGCAUAUACCCAUGAAACCAUCCUUUUCUCCUCUCCUCUACUCUAGAUCCCCUCUAAUGAUCUAUCUUUUGGUUAACUAAUCCUCUUCUAUGUCUAUUCAGUUUUUAAUUCCUAUUGAAAUUUUAAUUUCGGCAAUUUAUAUGUUCCCAUUUGAGAAUUUACAUUUGAUUCUCUCUUUUCAGUAUUAUUGAUUCUAGUUCUCUAGUGAAAGUCUCUUUUUGCCCUAUGUUUUCUAGAACAUAGUAAUCAUAAUUGAAGUCAUGCCUGGGAACUUCAAUAUCUGUAUCAUUUGUGAGUUUGUUCUGAAGUCUGUCAUACUCCUUGGUUUUUGUCCGUUGAUUCUAUCAGUUGGCGUGUCUGGUAAUCCUUUGAUUGAAUGCCAGAUCUUCUAUAUGAAAAUAGUAGAUAUAAUUUGAGGCUCUGGCUAAUGUUUUCUUCUUGCAGAGAAGAUUUACCUGCCAGUUGGCAGGCAGAGUAGGGACAGACGACUACACCAGUCUGGGAUGAGCUGACUUCAGUCUUUUGAGCACACUGUUCUACUUCCAUCUUAGCUAUAUACCUGUGGUGUUUCUCUUCCAGAGUCUUUACUGGAAGUCUGAGAUGUAUACCAGGACCCCUCCCCAUUAGUAUGCACUGAUCUCUAACUCUGUCACCCAUUCUGAGAGAUUGCCCUGAGACUUGAUUGGCUUCCCAGGUUCUCAGGGGCUGCCCUUUGCUUCUGAGCCAUUUGCUAUCAGCAGAUUCACUGAAAGGAAAAGUUGUACAGAACGUACCCCCCGUUUUUGGAAUUCUUGCCCCUCAAGUCCUAUCAGGAUCUCAGCUUCCAAAUUAAGAAACGAAAAAAGGAGCAAAUGAAAUCCAAAGUAAGCAGAAGAAAGAAAAGAAUAUAUAGGAGCCCAAAUUAAUGAAAUGGAAAACAGAAAAAACAAUAGAGAAAGUCAAUGAAACCAAAAACUGAUUCUUUCAGGAAAAAAAAAAAAGGUAAACCUCUAGCCAGCCUGAUUAAAAAAAGAGGAAGAAAAAGAAAACCCAAGUUCCCAUUACAUUAUCAGGAAUGAGAAGUAACAUAACUAUAGAGCCUAUUGAUAAGAAAAAUAAUAAAAGAACAACUUUAUGCCAAUCCGUUCAACAACUUAGAUCAAGUAGAUAAAUUCCUUGAAAAGAAAAAACCACCGGGGCGCCUGGGUGGCUCAGUUGGUUAAGCGACUGCCUUCAGCUCCGGUCAUGAUCUCAGGGUCCUGGGAUCGAGCCCCGCAUCGGGCUCCCUGCUCGGUGGGAAGCCUGCUUCUCUCUUUCCUACCCCCCCUGCUUGUGUUCCCUCUCUCGCUGUGCCUCUACCUCUCUCUGUCAAAUAAAUAAAUAAAAUCUUUAAAAAAAAAAAAAAAAAAGAAAAAACCACCAAAGCUCACUUAAGAAGAAAUAGGUAACCUGAAUUAUGCUAUAUCUGUUAGAGAUUGAAUUUCUAGUUUAAAACCUUCCUACAAAGAAAACCUCAGAUCUAGAUGGCGUUACUGGUAAAUUAACCAAACAGUUACUAAGAAAUAAUACUAAUUCUACACAAACAUUUCAGAAUACUGAAGAGGGGAAUACUUCCCAGUUCAUUCUAUGAAGACAACAUUACCCCUAUCCUGAAACCAUAAAACUGGGUGGGGGGGGGAGAUCAAUAUAUUGAAUAUUAACAAAAUAAAAUACUUAUUAUCUUGAGGUGUUUAUGUAGUGGGGUGCCUGGCUGGCUCAGUCAAUGGAACAUGCAACUCUUGAUCUCAGGGUGUGAAUUUGAGCCCUACAUGUGGCUUAGAGUUUACUUAAAAAAAAUUUUCAGGGUGCCUGGGUGGCUCAGUUGGUUAAGCAUCUGACUCUUGACUUCAGUUCAGGUCAUGAUCUCAGGGUUGUGAGAUCAAGCCCAGCAUCGGGCUCUUCACUAGACGUGGAGCCUGCUUGAGAUUCUCCCUCUCCCUCUUCCUCUGCCCCUCCCCCCUCUCUAAUAAAUAAAUAAAUAAAUAAAAUUUAAAAAUUUUAAUGUAGAAAUAAAAUUCAUGACAAUAAUAACACAAAAGGCAAGAAGAGAGUAAAAAUUAAAGCAUUCUAUAGUCCUUGCAUUAGUGAAAAUAUGUUUAUGUUAGAGUCUAGCAAAUCAAGAUGCAUGUUGUAUUGUAAUCGCUACGGUAACCAUGAAAAGAAUAGUAAAAUAAUGUACAAUUAACAAUCUACUCAAAAGGGAAAUAAAAUGAUUAAAAGCAUUUGACUGAUUUUUUUUUCAAGUGCAAGAAAGGAGAGUGAAAGCAGCAUAGAACAGAUGGGACAAACAAAGCACGUGGUGAGAUGUAGAUGUGAACAUCGAUAAUUUACUUUAAAUAUAAGUACUUGGAUUAAAAGGCAAAGAUUAUUCAGUCCGGAUGAAACCACAGAAACAAAACCAUGAAGCUUAAGCAGGAGAGCAUGCAGGAAGAAGCAGAGAAGAUGCAUUUGCAAGCGGAUUUCAGAACAACCUACCAGGAGUGUUUCUCAGAGUUGAGGGACACGUCUCCAAGUGUGAAACCGGAUCCUUUGUGCCCAGUAGCAAGAGGAAAAUGCAUAGGCUGAUGCCAGAACUUUCCCCGAGACCAGAUUUGGUUUGAGAAACAAAAAGAGAUGGACUAAAUGGGGAAUCACACACUUGAGUUCAGCAGUGUGUGCCGCUGAUAAAUGUGUAACACCUGGCUCUCCAAGUGUAAUUCCGGCAUGAAUGUUGACUUUAACAAAUCGGAUGAAAGUGAAACAAUGAAGAUAUGUUGGAACUUCACUCAUCUACCAAUGGUCUUUGUGACUUAUUUGUGGAAUUGGAUCAUAGUUUUUGAAUACUGGAAGAAAUAGGUGUUUUUUUUUUUUCUGUUCACAAUGCAAUGGCUACAGACGUGACGUAUUUUUAAGUUUCAUCGGCAUUAUUAACAUUUUCUCCAUCACUUCCCUAGAUCUAGACCAGGGUUCAGCAAACUACAACCCAAGAACCACAUUAAACUUAGUUCACAUAACUUUUUUAAAUUAUCCAUUCCAUUCUAAAUAUCACAAUGCUUUGAUAGGCACCAAAAUAUAUGAAUGAGCUCUUUUUAGUAGUCAAAUGUUUGUACAUCAUUUCUUUUUUCCUUAAACUUCUAUUUUCUUUUCACUUCUUUCACAUAAUUUUAUCCCAGUGCAAUAUCAUUAUGCUUAAACAUUUUUAUUGAUUAUCCUAUCAUGUUUCUUGCAACAAAAGUAAUAUACAAAUUAUAAUUUAAUUUGUUUUCAUUUCUAUGUCCAUAAGUCUCAUAAAUAUUGUUUUGUGUGGUUUAUUGCAGUUAUUGCAGUUAUCAGCAGUACAAAAAAUAAACAUUGUAAAUUUUGACAAAUAAUGAUUAAAAUGUAAAAGUUUACUAGAAAAUUAUCAUUUAAUGAUAUUGGAUGUUGCUAAUUGGAUUCUCAAUUAGUUCAUGUAACCACAGGUAAAUAUUUAAGUAUGACUUAUUUUCAGAAACAGGCUUAGCAUCAGUUCUUUUCCUUUUAGAUUUUAUGGAUGUAAGAGCUGAGAAUCCUUGUUCACACAAAUAAUUGAUAGAGGGAAAACGAGUUUUAUUUUUAAAAUGUCACUCAUGGCUUGGAAAUCCUUUCAAGUUAUAUGCCAAAAUCGUGUAGUCAUCAUCAGAAAUUGUUAUUAAUGAUCUAUCACUGGUAAUUUGAUUAGAUCCUUCCUCAAAUUUGUUAAAACCCAGGAAUUAGAAACCACCCAACUUGUAAAAAAUUUUGUUUCUAGUCUUCAAAGUCGUUCAAUUUUUCAAUUUUCAAUAGUUUUGACAAAGGAGCCUAAGACUUAUCAUUUACUAUUAUUUAUUCUUGUUAUUUUUAGAGAAAUCUCAUUUUUGUAGCUUAAGUUAAAGUGAGAUUUAAAAAACAACAACACAAAUAUAAAACUUGCAGAUUCUUUGGGAACAAAGAAUAAUCAUGCUGAAUUUCUGUUUGUAGGACAUCCUGAAAUAUCUUUAAAAAGCGAGACAGGUGAAAAGAGUUGGGUACUCAACAGUUGUUAUAUAGAGAUAAGUUAUUUAUUAGUGCUUGAAAAGGAGUAUGUUUAUAAUUACAUGUUUGGUAUUAUUAGAAAAGCACAUCAAAUCUGAGAGGAAGGAAUUAUCCCUAAUUAAAUAAAGUUGAUUUUGUAAAGUUCAGGAUAUUAUGUUCUAGUUUAUGUUUUGGGAACAUUUUAUCCUACACCUGUACAGAGAUAGAUGUCCUAUUUUUUUUAAUAGACUUUUUUUUUUUAGAGCAGUUUUAGGUCACAGCACAACUGAGUAGAAGGUACAGAGAUUUCCCAUGUAUUUCCUGCCAUCACUCAUGCACAGCCUCUGCCAUUAUCAACAUCCCUCACUAGAGCGGUGCAUUUGUUACAACUGAUGAACCUACUCUGACACAUUAUCAUCACCUAAAGUCCAUAGUUUACAGUAGGUAUUACUCCUGCUGUGGUACCUUCUGUGGGUUUGGACAAAUGUGUAAUGAUGUUUUCACCACUACAGUAUACAGAGUAGUUUCACUGCCCUAAAAGUCCUGUGCAUACCAAUUCAUCUCUCCCUCUCCUCUAAUCCCUGGAAACCACUGAUCUUUUUACUGUCUCCAUAGUUUUGCCUUUUCCAGAAUGUGAUGUAGUUGAAAUCAUAGAGUGCAAUCUUUUCAUAUUGGCUUUUUUUACUUAGUAAAAUGCGUUUAAGUUUCCCCCAUGUCUUUUCAUGGCUUGAUUGUUCAUUUCACUUUAGUGCUAAAUAAUAUUCCAUUGUCUGGAUGUUCCAGUUUAUCCAUUCAUACUGAAAGACAUUUCGCUUGCUUCCAAGUUUUGGCAAUUACAAAAAAAAAAAAAAAUCUGCUGUAAACAUUUAUGUGCAGGUUUUUGUGUGGACAUGUUUUCAACCCCUUUAGGUAAAUACUAAGCAGGAUUUCUAUAUUGCAUAGUAAGAGCAUGUUUAGUUUGGUAAGAAACUGUCAAACUGACUUCUAAAGUGCUAUACCAUUUUACAUUUCCAGCAGCAAUAAAUGAGAGUUCAUGUUGCUCCAUGUCCUGACCAGCGUUUUGUGUUGUUGGUGUUCUGUUUUGUAGUGGUAUCUCAUUGUUCUAAUCUGCAUUUCCCUGAUGGCAUAUAACAUGGAGCAUCUUUUCAUGUGCUUCUUUGCUGUCUGUAUAUCUUUUUUGGUGAGGUCUGCUAAGGUCUUUGAUCCAUUUUUUAAUCAGGUAGUUUGUUUUCUUAUUGUUGAGUUUUAAGUGUUCUCUUUAUUUUGGAUAAUAGUCCUUUAUCAGAUAUAUCUUUUGCAAAUAUUUUCGCUCCAGCUGUGACUUGUCUUUUCAUUCUCUGGAUAAAUGUUCUAUUUUUAAGAAUGAAAUUUAAACUACUCUGUGGAGAGUCUUAGCAAAAGGAAAGUAUUAGACCACCAGUAAGUGGGAGACCUACAAAAAGUUUAUUAAUAAUUGUUGCUAUGUAUAUUAUUUACAUUCAAAUCUAUAACAUAUCCCAGUUAUAACAAUAAUACAAAUAUGUAAAUAUAAAUAAUAAAAAAUAUAUAUAUAAAUAUAAAUCUAAUAACACAGGUAAAAAGAAUAAUUGAUCAGCAAGUGUUUGGCUAGUGACAGUGAGGAGGCAUACACCCAAAUAAAAAUAAAUAUUAGGGUUGGUGUGUGUGUGUGUGUGUGUGUGUGUGUGUGAAUAAGGGCAUGUUCUUUAGUUACCUAAGAGAAAACUAGGAAAACUACAGUAAAAUAAUCUGGUGGUAAGCAUUGAAUUCAUUGUAGAACUAAAAUUAAAACAAAUGUGGGUUUUUUGAUUACAGAAGAGAAUGUAAAUAUCUAAACCAAGAUAUUAUGAAAAGGGAAUGAAGUAACAAAGUUGAGAGGGGAAGGAAAAAGACAUGAAUUGUUAGUAUAAGCGUAACAAAACCCUUCAAAGUUGGGAGGUCAUAAGAUAUCAUUUAAUAAUAGAGGUAUAAAUAUCCUUUUUAAAUGAUAUUUUUAGAAUAAUUUUUUUAUGGAAUACAAAAUGCGGAAAUACAAAAAAUUAUAAGUGUGCCAACUGUUGAAUUUCACAAAGUAAGCAUAUAAAUAUACUCAUACUAAAAGGACCUAGAUCAAAAAAUAGAACAUUACCAGCACUCAGAGGCCUCUGCUUACCUUCUUACAGUCACUCAAGGGCAUCCAUUAUACUCAGUUCUAACUGAAUAUAUUAGUUUUGGCUGUUGUCGUGUGUCAUGUGUGUCAUGUAAUUGGAUUCAUAUACUAUAAUGUGUCUGAUUUCUUUUGCUCAGCAUUGUAUUUUUGAGAUUCAGUCAUGUUGCAUGUAAUAGGAGCCCAUUCAUUAUCAUACAUGUACUCAGUUAUAUGAGUAUAUUGCAAUGUAUCCACUUUACUACAAGGGGGCAUUUAUUUGAAAGGUUUUAGGAGGAGGCAACUAUAAAUAAUUUUGCUAUGAAUAUUCUUGUACUUGUCUUUUUGGUGAGUAUAUGCUUGCUUUUCUGUUGGGAAUAAUUAUUUAAGGGGAAAAAUAAAAUGUAUUAAUUUAAAUAAACAAAAAUAUUAUCCCUGUCAUAUAACAUAUAAACUUUGACUAUUGAUUUCAUCAAAAAUUAAAACAUAACUGAAAAGAAAAUGGGAGGGGCACAUGGGUGGCUCAGUCGGUUAAGUGUCUGCCUUCGGCUCAGGUCAUGAUCCUGGGGUUCCAGGAUCGAGCCCUGUGUCGGGCUCCCUGCUCAGGAGGAGUCUGCCUUUCCCUCUCCCUUGCCCCUCCCCCUGCUCAUGCUUUCUCUUUCUCUCUCUCUCUGAAAUAAAUAAAUAAAAUCUUAAAAAAAAAAAAGAAAAUGGGGGAGAGGACAUGGAUAGGCUUAAGAGAGCUAUUGCUUUAUCUAAUAAUAUAAGAAAUCAAUAGAUAAUGUCUAAUAUAGAGUAUUAUAAAAUAUUUUAUUAUAAUUUUAAUAGAAUAUUUAAUAUUUAUGAUAUAUAAACCAAAUUUUUCUAUUGAAAAAGAAGUUAUUUUAAAAUAAUGUAUAUAAGGAAACUGUUCACCAGUUUUCUUACUUAAAAAAUCAGCAUAUUAGGAUAUCAAUUAAAAAUAUGGAGAUAAAUGUCAAAAGAGGUUGCCCCAAAUAAUUGAAAUUUGUUAUCUCAGAUGGGUGGGGAAGACUUCUUUUUGUAAUAAGUCUUGUAAUAUCGUCUAACUUUUCUCUAAGCCCCCUGUAUUAUUUGAUUUAUUACCAUGUGCAUGUAUUAUUUUAGUAAAAUUAAGGGUUUUGUUGGUUUGGUUUGGUUUUGCACAAGGACAACCAGCAAUAACUUGACAUAAAAGUGAUUGUGAAUCAUAUAAAUGUAUCUGACCAAAACUGAACUAAAUGUACCCCCAAUUCAACUCCCUUUAGCUAGAUCCUAAAAAUGCCCCCCACCACUUGAAGACCAUCCAACACUUAGAUGAAUGAGUCAGAGACGAAAGUCUAAAUGAAAAGAGACCAGUUUUUAACUACAGUUCAGUAUCUUUUGCAAAUUUUACACAAAUAUGUGACCAUAUAAACAUAAUGUAAGGGACUCUCCCAGGGCCAGGAAGGAGAGGUGCAAGUGUGGGCCUGAUAAAUCUGCUCCUGGGAGCAAAGGGAAGAAGGUAGACUAAAAGACCCAGACUCAAGCCCAGAUCUGCCUUUUAGGAAUUAUGGGAUGCCAAGUACUUACUCAACUUCUUUAUGCCUCAGUUUCCCAAUCUGUUAAGUGGCAAUAAUAAACCCUUAUGUAUUGUGCUGAGAUGCUAAUAAGAUCAUGAUGAUAUCAUAUUAGUGAAAUACCAGCUAGCUUCAAAGUCAAAAGCAGUUGGCCCACAUCCCAUAGAGAAGCCUGGGAUCCUCAUAUCUGUGGUGCAGUAGGAAUUUAGAAACCUCUGGUUAUCGUGGGGUACGUCCUUAAGUAACUCUGAUCCAAAUUAUCUUAGAGAGGACAAUCUAAAAAUUCCAAAUUAAAGCAAUUUUCUUUCAUCUUUGACAAACAUAUUGAGCCAGUCAGAUUACUAGUAAAUUGUGUUCCAAAAUCAGGCCCAUCUAGGAAAUGAGGUUCUAGAUGUCUCCCAAAAAUCACAGUGAGAGGAGCAAGUUCUGACUAGGACCUUUUGAUCUUUCUCUUCCUCCUGUUUGUUAUCUCUAGGAGUAAGAAGGCAAGGCUGACUUAUCCAUAGCUGGCCUCUUAGAACAAGACGUUAAUUGGCAAUGCUGUAUAAAACUCAGAUGUAGGAGAAGGGGUAAAAAUCAAAGCUUCUACACCUUCCAUUUGGAAUUCCUGCAGCAGUUUUACCAGGAGGAUGAAAAAAAAGAAAUCAAAACAACAACAACAAACAAGAAUGCAUUUUCUUGAUCUAAAAGGGAGCUGAGUCACUGUUUCGUGUCCUACUUUCAGCCCAAGGUGGCCUGCACAUCUUCCCCAUCUAACAGGGGUUUCAGUGCUUUGCUGCGUCACCCUCAGCUGAGUGAUGGCUGAGCAUGCUGUCUGCUGCCGCUUCUGGCUCCCCACCGGCCUGCUCGCCCAGGAGCUCCAUUUGGCCAGAACUGAAAGAAGAGGACACCGGUCCCGUUCCCUCUGUUUGCCACCUGGGCGGCUGGAGGACUGGACCUUGGACCUGGUUCCUGUCCCCGCUCCCUUCUUGGGGACCUACUUCCAUUGACUUCUGACAUGGACCCUGCUGCUGUCUGGUAAGUCCCAGCCCCCCCAGCCUGCUAGGAGUCGUGGCGGGGAGGGGGGAGGGGCUGUAAGAAACUGUACCAGACAAUAGACUCUUACUUUCCUCCAGUGGCUUAUCAAAAAUGAUUGUAGCUGCUUCGGCAGGACUAGAAGUGACCCAUUGUCCCCUCUUCCAGCGAUCUCUGUAUCUUACACGAGCUCAGUGCUUACUGUUCUGGGAUUCACAACCCCCUGCUUGUGUGACAUUGUGUGAACUAGUGCUCUUUGGAACUUUGUGUUCAUUUACAUAACGCAUUCCUCAGGUGCAUAUACGUUAUGCAUGAGUCUGUGUUGUUAAUCACUUGAAAUUUAAUUGGAACGUGACAGUUUUUCCUUCCUCUUCAGUUUUCCCUCUCUCUCUCCCUCUCGAGCUCAUGCAACACUUGGAAGAAUUCCAGUCUCUUCCUGGCACUGUGGGCUUCCUGACUUUUUCCUUUAUGGGGAGGAUGCUCAGAAGCCCAGGUGGAAUGGGCCUCUUGCCCGAGAUGACUCCAUGGGCCA
Molecule: long non-coding RNA, 9854 nt
Organism: Mirounga angustirostris (Northern elephant seal)
Lineage: Eukaryota; Metazoa; Chordata; Mammalia; Carnivora; Phocidae
Exons: 3
Source: RefSeq, a predicted model, not a curated record